GUGUCGUCAGCUCGUGUCGUGAGAUGUUGGGUUAAGUCCCGCAACGAGCGCAACCCUUGUCUCUAGUUGCCAGUAUUAAGUUAGGGACUCUAGAGAGACUGCCUCGGUUAACGGGGAGGAAGUGGGAUGACGUCAAGUCCUCAUGGCCUUUAUACCCAGGGCUACACACGUGCUACAAUGGGCUGCACAAAGGGUCGCUAGCUCGCGAGAGUGCGCUAAUCCCAAAAAGCAGUUCUCAGUUCGGAUUGGAGUCUGCAACUCGACUCCAUGAAGUUGGAAUCGCUAGUAAUCGUGGAUCAGCACGCCACGGUGAAUACGUUCCCGGGCCUU
This 330-nucleotide ribosomal RNA is filed under the name uncultured Desulfarculaceae bacterium. RNAcentral's name for it is "bacterial SSU rRNA". It matches the Rfam family "Bacterial small subunit ribosomal RNA", at positions 1049 to 1382 of the family's 1533-position model. Lineage: Bacteria; Pseudomonadati; Thermodesulfobacteriota; Desulfarculia; Desulfarculales; Desulfarculaceae. The record is from RNAcentral.